Molecule: RNA transcript, 1819 nt
Organism: Selaginella moellendorffii
Lineage: Eukaryota; Viridiplantae; Streptophyta; Lycopodiopsida; Selaginellales; Selaginellaceae
Gene name: protein MRG1
Exons: 14
Source: RefSeq, a predicted model, not a curated record
UUUAGGUUUCCUUGUGGAGUGGAGGGUAGCGAUGGCGGCAGAGAGUGCGAUCUAAGCAGGGGAUUUGUUUUUACCUCGAUUGACAAUGAGCGCUCCAUUGGAUGCUCCAGCGGAAGAAGAUACCACUGGCGAGAAGGAAAUCGCAAUGACCCAAUUCAAGGAUGGGGACAAAGUGCUUGCUUACCACGGGCCUCUCAUUUACGAAGCCAAGAUUCAAAAGGCAGAGCUUCGAAAGAACGAAUGGAAAUACUUCGUGCAUUACCUGGGAUGGAGUAAGAACUGGGACGAAUGGAUUGGGGAGGAGCGUCUGCUGCCUCUGAACGAAGAGAAUUUGGAGAAACAAAAGCAUCUGGUCAAUACGCAAGCUGCGGACAAGCGUGGGAAAGGACGGAUGGCUCAGGGAAAGCCAAAGGGAGCCACAAGCACUGCUACAAAAGGAAGGAAACGCAAGUCUGAGGAAAAAGAUGGUGAGGAUAACUCACUAAAGUUUUCACUCCCAGCUGCUUUGAAAAAGCUUCUUAUAGAGGACUGCGAGCUUGUUACGCAAGGCAGCAAGCUAGCCAAGCUACCAAAAAGUCCCUCCGUCGAAGAGAUAUUGCAAAAAUAUCUAGAAACUAAGACAAAACCGGGAGACUCUCUGGUUGAGAUACUUAAUGGCCUUCGCUCUUAUUUCGACAAGGCUCUUCCUCUGAUGUUGUUAUACAAGGAGGAACGUAAGCAACAUGUAGAAGUCUUUGCUAAUAACACAUCCACGCCAUCCGCUGUGUAUGGAGCUGAACACUUUCUCCGUUUGUUUGUGAAACUUCCGGAGCUCCUUCAAUAUGUAAAUAUGGAAGAGGAGGCAGCUUCUCAGCUACAACAAAAGCUGAUGGACCUUUUGAAAUUUAUUCAGAAAAACCAGAGUACCUUCUUCCAUGCCAAUGCGGACGGCUUGAAGUUCGAAAACAAAUGAGAUUGGUAUGGAUAGGCUUGCGCGUAAAGGGACAUCGUAAAUCGUGAUUGGCUAGUCAUUGCGGACAAGGACGAAGAAGUUUCUUUGAACCUGAUCCUCCAAAAGCUGAUACUGAUGGCGAUUGAAUCCCAUCCUUCCUACUCCAGUGGUGAGGCUUCGCUCCAAGUGUUUUCCUCGCUACAUUCCGUGUUCCCCAGCCAAGUUGCGAUUAGUUUUUGGAAGAGUGCAAUGUAUCGACGCGAAAGCGGCCGCCUCGGUAAGAUUUGUUUUUGUUUUGUUUGAGGAAUUCAGGUAUUGGGGGUCCAGUCCAGUCCAGUGUAGCUGCACUGGACGCGCUAGGCGACAAGUUUUCGCGACGCGAAAAGGAGAAAGAGAGCUCUAUCUAGCUCGCUCGCUCGGGACCGGGUCGGGCCUCUCGUUUUCCUUCACUUUUUUUCCGCUGUUUUCCUUUGUUUUGCUCUCUUUUUUUGCCCUUUCAGCUCGGCUGGCGCUCCAAUCACGUACAAGCGACAAACGGUCUACGCAGGCUGGCCAGGGACACCAUCCAACCUGAUACAGAACUUUUCCAACGAGAAAGCUUUGGCACGCACGCUGGCGAGCGAUUAAAAAAAGCCCAAGUUGAGUUCCACACCCAGUGGAAAGCGCGAGGGGCCAAGAUUCAGUGGAGCAGUGUUCUUGAGGACCAUGACGUUGGUGUUGGUUGGCAAACACACUCUAGAACAGUGACGUGAUUCCAUCGUAAGUUGAGGUCUGGUUGUCAAAGGUGAUGAGAUCUUAUCAUAUAGAUGUCGUGUGUGAUUUUUUAUACGUGUGUAUGUGGUGCCUCGCUUGCCUGGAUUGAAUCGAUGGAAUUCUCUCAUUUCAUGA